RNAcentral lists this ribosomal RNA (497 nucleotides) under uncultured bacterium. RNAcentral describes it as "partial 16S ribosomal RNA". It matches the Rfam family "Bacterial small subunit ribosomal RNA", at positions 28 to 507 of the family's 1533-position model. The record is from RNAcentral.
GACGAACGCUGGCGGCGUGCCUAAUACAUGCAAGUUGAGCGAUGAAGAUUGGUGCUUGCACCAAUUUGAAGAGCAGCGAACGGGUGAGUAACGCGUGGGGAAUCUGCCUUUGAGCGGGGGACAACAUUUGGAAACGAAUGCUAAUACCGCAUAACAACUUUAAACAUAAGUUUUAAGUUUGAAAGAUGCAAUUGCAUCACUCAAAGAUGAUCCCGCGUUGUAUUAGCUAGUUGGUGAGGUAAAGGCUCACCAAGGCGAUGAUACAUAGCCGACCUGAGAGGGUGAUCGGCAACAUUGGGACUGAGACACGGCCCAAACUCCUACGGGAGGCAGCAGUAGGGAAUCUUCGGCAAUGGACGAAAGUCUGACCGAGCAACGCCGCGUGAGUGAAGAAGGUUUUCGGAUCGUAAAACUCUGUUGGUAGAGAAGAACGUUGGUGAGAGUGGAAAGCUCAUCAAGUGACGGUAACUACACAGAAAGGGACGGCUAACUACGUG